Molecule: ribosomal RNA, 253 nt
Filed under: uncultured bacterium
Lineage: Bacteria
Description: partial 16S ribosomal RNA
Rfam family: Bacterial small subunit ribosomal RNA
Source: RNAcentral
GACGAACCACACAACCGUUAUUCGGAAUUACUGGGCUUAAAGGGUGCGUAGGCUGCGCAGAAAGUUGGGUGUGAAAUCCCUCGGCUCAACCGAGGAACUGCGUCCAAAACUACUGUGCUCGAGGGAGACAGAGGUGAGCGGAACUUAGGGUGGAGCGGUGAAAUGCGUUGAUAUCCUAAGGAACACCCGUGGCGAAAGCGGCUCACUGGGUCUCUUCUGACGCUGAGGCACGAAAGCUAGGGUAGCGAACGGG